This is a long non-coding RNA of Megalobrama amblycephala (Wuchang bream), 738 nucleotides long. RefSeq lists it as uncharacterized. The record is from RefSeq and is a predicted model, not a curated record. The transcript is spliced from 3 exons. NCBI's taxonomy places the organism in Eukaryota, Metazoa, Chordata, Actinopteri, Cypriniformes, Xenocyprididae.
UGGGAUAUAGCCGGCCCGUCGGGUUUUUAAACUCUAUUGGGCGAGGAAUAAACGGAAGUGCGAAUCGACCAAUGGUAGUGCAAUGCCUCUUUCCAAUUUCUCCAUCAUGUCCCGCCCCAUGAGUAUGAGCCAGUCAGAUUCGUCUGACAUAUUAAGGACAGAAAUGAACGUCAAACGGAUCAAAGGUAAUCUGGAUCCGUUCAUACAGAUGGAAAGAGGGAUUAUCUUGGUGAUUUUAGGCAAAGAUUAGAGGACAGCAGAUGCCCUCUGUGGAUGGAGAGGAGCAUGAGGGAGGGGAGAAAGAAGAGAUGAAUAAAGGUAGUCGGCCAGUUGUCCUCCGAUUGGCACAAUGAUGGUCAUGACUAAAUGAGGAAGUGCAGACACCAGCCCCACCUGAGCCACAGAAGGAACAAAAAGAGUGGCUAUUGAACAAAACAUUUUAAUCCAGGUGCACAGUACUACAUUGUAUCCGAGUGUAGACUUAAAUUUCGCCUGUUCUUGAGCAGUGGUUCUCAAUUGGUUUUCAUUAUUUUUUACUUACUAAAACUUUUUACUGUCUAUCAAAAGUAAAUAAAAUUGUUCUUAAUUGUUCUUUUUCAAUAGAAUAAUUAGAUAUUCUACUAACAAUAAGUAACUUUGCAACUCAAUGUCAAUAAACUCUCAUUAGAGUAUUAGUAGACUGUUACGUUAGGGUUAGUAGAAUAAUGCAAAGUUACUUAUAGUUAGUGGAAUGUACGG